UUCAGUUCUCUUUACCUUUUACUUUGAAUUUGAUUAGUAAAGGGCUAAGAUGACUGGCA
Molecule: microRNA precursor, 59 nt
Filed under: Blattella germanica (German cockroach)
Lineage: Eukaryota; Metazoa; Arthropoda; Insecta; Blattodea; Blattellidae
Description: Bge-Novel-7_pre stem-loop
Source: RNAcentral